AGCCCGCUCAGAAACUACAAAGGAAGUUGACGGGGCCCGCACAAGCGGUGAGCAUGUGGUUUAAUUCGAUGAUACGCGAGGAACCUUACCUGGGCUCAAAUGUAUGUUGACGUAUUCUGAAAGGGAUACUUCUUCGGACAAUAUACAAGGUGCUGCAUGGUUGUCGUCAGCUCGUGCCGUGAGGUGUCGGGUUAAGUCCCAUAACGAGCGCAACCCCUAUCAUUAGUUGCCAUCAGGUCAAGCUGGGGACUCUAAUGAAACUGCCUACGCAAGUAGUGAGGAAGGUGGGGAUGACGUCAAAUCAGCACGGCCCUUACGUCCAGGGCUACACACGUGCUACAAUGGCCGGUACAAAGGGCAGCUACCUGGUGACAGGAUGCUAAUCUCAAAAGCCGGUCUCAGUUCGGAUCGGAGUCUGCAACCCGACUCCGUGAAGCUGGAAUCGCUAGUAAUCGCGCAUCAGCCAUGGCGCGGUGAAUACGUUCCCGGGCCUU
This 494-nucleotide ribosomal RNA is filed under the name uncultured Sphingobacteriales bacterium. Its description in RNAcentral is "bacterial SSU rRNA". It matches the Rfam family "Bacterial small subunit ribosomal RNA", at positions 903 to 1382 of the family's 1533-position model. Lineage: Bacteria; Pseudomonadati; Bacteroidota; Sphingobacteriia; Sphingobacteriales. The record is from RNAcentral.